GAGCUUGCUUCAUUGCCGGCGACCGGCGCACGGGUGAGUAACGCGUAUCCCACCUUCCGCUUACUCGGGGAUAGCCUUUCGAAAGAAAGAUUAAUACCCGAUGGUAUGAUGAGAUUGCAUGAUAGCAUCAUUAAAGAUUUAUUGGUGAGCGAUGGGGAUGCGUUCCAUUAGGUAGUAGGCGGGGUAAUGGCCCACCUAGCCUACGAUGGAUAGGGGUUCUGAGAGGAAGGUCCCCCACAUUGGAACUGAGACACGGUCCAAACUCCUACGGGAGGCAGCAGUGAGGAAUAUUGGUCAAUGGACGAGAGUCUGAACCAGCCAAGUAGCGUGAAGGAUGAAGGUCCUACGGAUUGUAAACUUCUUUUAUAAGGGAAUAAAACCUCCCACGUGUGGGAGCUUGUAUGUACCUUAUGAAUAAGCAUCGGCUAACUCCGUGCCAGCAGCCGCGGUAAUACGGAGGAUGCGAGCGUUAUCCGGAUUUAUUGGGUUUAAAGGGAGCGCAGACGGGUCGUUAAGUCAGCUGUGAAAGUUUGGGGCUCAACCUUAAAAUUGCAGUUGAUACUGGCGUCCUUGAGUGCGGUUGAGGUGUGCGGAAUUCGUGGUGUAGCGGUGAAAUGCUUAGAUAUCACGAAGAACUCCGAUUG
This 644-nucleotide ribosomal RNA is filed under the name uncultured Bacteroides sp. RNAcentral describes it as "bacterial SSU rRNA". It matches the Rfam family "Bacterial small subunit ribosomal RNA", at positions 69 to 715 of the family's 1533-position model. The record is from RNAcentral. Lineage: Bacteria; Pseudomonadati; Bacteroidota; Bacteroidia; Bacteroidales; Bacteroidaceae.